Molecule: unclassified non-coding RNA, 216 nt
Filed under: Hevea brasiliensis (rubber tree)
Lineage: Eukaryota; Viridiplantae; Streptophyta; Magnoliopsida; Malpighiales; Euphorbiaceae
Source: RNAcentral
AUAGCUAGAGCACUUGCAGCACAGAUUUAAUUGCACAAUUCAAAGUCACUAGACAAUUAGUUGCAAGUAUAUAUCCAAAGAAAAAUUCCUACAGUCGCUUCUGCAUUGCCUGUAAACAGAAAAAAGAAUUUAUAUCUGCUGCAACACGCAGCUCUAAACUGAACUAUCCAAAGAACAAAUGUUGUGCCACUUUAAUACUUUUACAUGUUAAAUUAG